AUAUGUAACAUAUAUAAUAUCAAAUAUGAAUAGGAGUAGAAAUUAAAUAUUAAAAAUAGGUGUAAGUUUUCUGUAUUUAAAGGGGUUUUUUUUUGUUUUUAUUUAGUCAGGGGUAGGGAGUUUUUUAGUUGUGGUCAGGCUUUUUUUGGGGCAUUUUGUAGGAUUGGGACUCUCCUUUUUGCCCCGGGAGCUUUGGGAUGGCGCCAGCCUGUGGCCUCUCCCACAGGUGAGUGUGACACGGUAGAGAAGGGAGCCAGGCAGUGCUCUGGGACUUUGAAUCUACCCAAUUGUUUUCCAAGUGUAUUUGCAGAGAUUCAGCUGUGGGGAAGCUGCAGACAAGGCUGCCUGGCACAGCCCCCCAGAAUGGGCCUCCUCCGACUGGGCUCCCGCAGAGGAUGGGGCAGUUGCAGCCCCCUGUCAUUCCUGUGAGAUUUGGUAAGUCUGGGGAGGGGUUUCCUGACUGUCCCUGUCUCCAAGCGAGCCGUGCCUCGUUGUCCAGAAGCCCACAGGGGUCGGCUGCAGUCCUUAAGGGCAGUGCCUGCUUUCACCACUGCCUUUUGCUGCCUGCAGAGAUCUGUGCUGAGGGUUGGCAGCUCCUGCUGGGGCAAGAGCUGCAUCUUCCAAGAGGCAAAGCUGCAGCAUCUUCCUCCCCAGGGACUGUCUCCAUGCAGGAAGCAGCACAGGGGACUGGCCGAGGGGCUCGGGCUGGGACACGGCCCCAACAGGAGCAGCCCUGGGACACUGACACGGGAGGAUGAGCCCAGGUGAGGAGCACGGGCCCAGCGUGGCACCAAGACAGGCAUCUCCUGUGGGUUAUGUGGGGCUGUGCUGUGCACCCUGGGGGUGCUGACUGACCCCCUUUGUGCCGAGACAGAGGAGAUGCUGCUGCACCACGUCCCCAGGAGAGCCCCUGCCUCCUUCUGCUCUCAGGGAUGGGACUGGGAGACGCCUCCACGCCGAGAGUGGCACUUGGCAUGGCUUCAGUCCCCAGUGGAAGAGGCUGGGCUCCCCGCUGCCCAGAGCUCCUGGGUAGGGACACCCACCCCUGCGCCUGGCUCAGAGUCCAGGGUGCACUCAGUCCGGAUCCAGCCUCGAGAUGUUCCUGCUGCAGCUGCAGGUGUUUCCCAGUCCAGCUCGCUGAGCCUCCGGCUCUGACAUUGGCACGUUCUUCCUUCCAGCUCUGGCUCUGAGAUGCUGCACUUGAUGGCUGCUCCAGUUCCUUCCAGCUCUGGGUUGGUUUUUUUAAGCACCACUACAAGGAGAUGCACCAAGACCCCCAGGGAGCCCCAGGACUGAGCGGGAGGAGCCCAGAAAUUUUGGGCACCCCACCCCCUGAAAUCAUUAAAUCCACAUGGAAGCUU
This is a long non-coding RNA of Oenanthe melanoleuca, 1361 nucleotides long. RefSeq lists it as uncharacterized. Lineage: Eukaryota; Metazoa; Chordata; Aves; Passeriformes; Muscicapidae. The record is from RefSeq and is a predicted model, not a curated record. The transcript has 3 exons.